UCGCAGAUGAAGCUGUUCACUCCUUCUCAUCGGCUGACAGCACAGGCAUCAACUCCAAGUGUGACAGCAGCAACAACUCUGCAAUCACAACCACAACAGUCUUUCUUCACUAUAGUCUACAUUACCACCCAAAUAGGACACACUAUGCUACAAUGGUCUCGAUGAGCUGGUGCCUAUUCCAGCUGACUUUGGACAAAAGGCAGACGACAUCCUGGAAUGGUCGCCAGUCGGUCACAGGGCACAAUUCAUGACAGGCGACGAUUCACACUCAAAUUCACACCAUCACUGAGUAGAACCCAUGCUUCCCGCACCCAAGUCAGGGUCAAAUGGCUGAACACUCUCCUGCUCUGAGAACAAUUAGCCGAGCUGAAUACAGAGACAGACAGCAAAAGAGAAAAAAAUUCCCACAACGAGAUGAUGGGUCGUGACCCUGCUCAGGCCUUACAUGAUG
Phyllopteryx taeniolatus (common seadragon) is the source of this 451-nucleotide long non-coding RNA. RefSeq lists it as uncharacterized. The record is from RefSeq and is a predicted model, not a curated record. NCBI's taxonomy places the organism in Eukaryota, Metazoa, Chordata, Actinopteri, Syngnathiformes, Syngnathidae. The transcript is spliced from 3 exons.